This is a long non-coding RNA of Salvia miltiorrhiza (redroot sage), 611 nucleotides long. RefSeq lists it as uncharacterized. Lineage: Eukaryota; Viridiplantae; Streptophyta; Magnoliopsida; Lamiales; Lamiaceae. The transcript has 3 exons. The record is from RefSeq and is a predicted model, not a curated record.
UGGAAAAUCUCUCUCACUCUCUCACUUCCCCAUUUUCGUCCAUCUCCUUUCUCCCUCAUCUCUCUCUUUCCUCCAUAACCACCAUUGAUGAAGACCACAAAAGCUUCAUAGAUUCAUACCAAGAGCUCAAAUCCACCACUAAAUCUAGCCUAAACACCUUCUAUCUCCUAGAAUUCAAGAGAUCCAUGGAAGUUUAGUCUUGGAGUUAGAAAGAGAAAGUUUGGUUCUUGGUGUGAGCUUGGGUCCGGGCGACAGGAAGUGAAGCCGAAGAAGAAGCAACUCCACGCUAGCUUAAGAACGUUUGAGGUUGAGCAGCUGAUGGAAUGGAAUGGUGUUGAGUGGGUGUUCCUUUGAUCAUUUCAAGAAAUGUAACCUUGAGUAUACAUCUUCAUAUGUAUAUCUCACACGUUUUCCGCUGCAAAACACUUUGAUUAGGAUAACUCUAUGUUAUGAAGUUGUGACACGUGAUAUUGGGUAACCCACCUUAAUCAGUUCUCCUUUAUGUGUAUGUGUUAUAAGUAUCCAAAUGAUCAUAUAUGAUCCUAGCAUUUUAUCUAUGAGUGACAUUUCCAUAUACUUUAAUGUUAAGUAAUUAUCCAUUUCCGUUCCCA